RNAcentral lists this ribosomal RNA (676 nucleotides) under fungal endophyte. RNAcentral describes it as "eukaryotic LSU rRNA". The stretch from base 191 to 344 matches the Rfam family "5.8S ribosomal RNA". Lineage: Eukaryota; Fungi. The record is from RNAcentral.
CGGAGGGAUCAUUAAAGAGUUCUAUAACUCCCAAACCCAUGUGAACAUACCUAACGUUGCCUCGGCAGGUCGCACCUACCUUGUAGCACCCUACCCUGUAGGGCCUACCCGGGAGGUGCGGGUAAGCCUGCCGGCGGCCCACCAAACUCUGUUUGAUAUUGAAUUCUGAACCUAUAACUAAAUAAGUUAAAACUUUCAACAACGGAUCUCUUGGUUCUGGCAUCGAUGAAGAACGCAGCGAAAUGCGAUAAGUAAUGUGAAUUGCAGAAUUCAGUGAAUCAUCGAAUCUUUGAACGCAUAUUGCGCCCAUUAGUAUUCUAGUGGGCAGGACCGUUCGAGCGUCAUUUCAACCCUUAAGCCUUCGUUGCUUAGUGUUGGGAGCCUACGGCAACGUAGCUCCUCAAAGUUAGUGGCGGAGUUGGUUCACACUCUAGACGUAGUAAUUUUUUAUCUCGCCUAUUAGUUGGACUAAUCCCCUGCCGUAAAACCCCCAAUUUAUCAAGGUUGACCUCGAAUCGGUUCAGACAAACUCGCUAAAUUGAAGCAUCUUAGUCAGCGAAGGAAAAGAAACCAACAGGGAUUGCCCUAGUAACGGCGAGUGAAGCGGCAACAGCUCAAAUUUGAAAUCUGGCCCUCGGGUCCGAGUUGUAAUUUGUAGAGGAUGCUUUUGGCGCGG